RNAcentral lists this ribosomal RNA (461 nucleotides) under Salmonella enterica subsp. enterica serovar Corvallis. RNAcentral's name for it is "partial 23S ribosomal RNA". It matches the Rfam family "Bacterial large subunit ribosomal RNA", at positions 454 to 816 of the family's 2925-position model. The record is from RNAcentral. Lineage: Bacteria; Pseudomonadati; Pseudomonadota; Gammaproteobacteria; Enterobacterales; Enterobacteriaceae.
CAUCCUCCAAGGCUAAAUACUCCUGACUGACCGAUAGUGAACCAGUACCGUGAGGGAAAGGCGAAAAGAACCCCGGCGAGGGGAGUGAAAAAGAACCUGAAACCGUGUACGUACAAGCAGUGGGAGCCCCACCACUAAGCCAGUGGUGAACUCCACAUACGCAUCCUUUGCUGAGGAUACGGUUAACGGAGCGAAAGCGACGUUCAACCUCAAAAGAAGCAGAGGGGGCUUAGUGGUGGGGUGACUGCGUACCUUUUGUAUAAUGGGUCAGCGACUUAUAUUCUGUAGCAAGGUUAACCGUAUAGGGGAGCCGGAGGGAAACCGAGUCUUAAUUGGGCGUUAAGUUGCAGGGUAUAGACCCGAAACCCGGUGAUCUAGCCAUGGGCAGGUUGAAGGUUGGGUAACACUAACUGGAGGACCGAACCGACUAAUGUUGAAAAAUUAGCGGAUGACCUGUGGCU